ACAGCAGCAGCCGCGGUAAUACGUAGGUGGCAAGCGUUGUCCGGAAUUAUUGGGCGUAAAGGGCCCGCAGGCGGUUUCUUAAGUCUGAUGUGAAAGCCCCCGGCUCAACCGGGGAGGGUCAUUGGAAACUGGGAAACUUGAGUGCAGAAGAGGAGAGUGGAAUUCCACGUGUAGCGGUGAAAUGCGUAGAGAUGUGGAGGAACACCAGUGGCGAAGGCGACUCUCUGGUCUGUAACUGACGCUGAGGAGCGAAAGCGUGGGGAGCGAACAGGAUUAGAUACCCCAGUAGUCCCUGUCUCUUUAUU
Molecule: ribosomal RNA, 305 nt
Filed under: uncultured bacterium
Lineage: Bacteria
Description: partial 16S ribosomal RNA
Rfam family: Bacterial small subunit ribosomal RNA
Source: RNAcentral